GACGAACGCUGGCGGCGUGCUUAACACAUGCAAGUCGAACGGAAAGGCCCUGCUUUUGUGGGGUGCUCGAGUGGCGAACGGGUGAGUAACACGUGAGUAACCUGCCCUUGACUUUGGGAUAACUUCAGGAAACUGGGGCUAAUACCGGAUAGGAGCUCCUGCUGCAUGGUGGGGGUUGGAAAGUUUCGGCGGGUGGGGAUGGACUCGCGGCUUAUCAGCUUGUUGGUGGGGUAGUGGCUUACCAAGGCUUUGACGGGUAGCCGGCCUGAGAGGGUGACCGGCCACAUUGGGACUGAGAUACGGACCAGACUCCUACGGGAGGCAGCGGUGGGGAGUAUUGCACAAUGGGCGGAAGCCUGAUGCAGCAACGCCGCGUGCGGGAUGACGGCCUUCGGGUUGUAAACCGCUUUCGCCUGUGACGAAGCGUGAGUGACGGUAAUGGGUAAAGAAGCACCGGCUAACUACGUG
Molecule: ribosomal RNA, 468 nt
Filed under: uncultured bacterium
Lineage: Bacteria
Description: partial 16S ribosomal RNA
Rfam family: Bacterial small subunit ribosomal RNA
Source: RNAcentral